Molecule: unclassified non-coding RNA, 471 nt
Filed under: Stegodyphus dumicola
Lineage: Eukaryota; Metazoa; Arthropoda; Arachnida; Araneae; Eresidae
Description: uncharacterized LOC118202591, transcript variant X2
Source: RNAcentral
GUAGGCGCUUAAUCCCGGAACGAAUGCUAUUGUUUGCUGGAAGAGUCCAAGAUUUGUAGGUGUGGUACGUGAAAGUAGGGAUGAGCUAAGAGGAGAAAGGAAAAGGGAUUUUGAGUAUAGGGAAUUUCAGUCGUUCCGGAAUUGAGCGCCUACUAUGAACCGGCUACUGCUUUGUGAGAACUAACUCCUAGCCCGGGUCUACGGACUGAAAAUAGGGCAUGGGCAGGGCCGUAGGAGGCAGUUCCCUACGUGUGGUCAACCAUGAAAUUGUAAUGUAUUUCUUCGGUAGAAUUACAGUGUCCGCAAAAGAAAUUUAAGAAACAGCUCAAUGAUUAUAAAUAGUACCAUUAACUGCUAUUAUUAAAACCAAAAGCAAUAUUAAUGUAUCUUUAAUUAAUCUUUUGAAAUUAUAUCUCUGUAUAUUAAAUAAAUGAUCUGAUUUUUGGGGAUGGUCUGCCCUCCUAGAAAGUU